Molecule: long non-coding RNA, 1291 nt
Organism: Zerene cesonia (dogface butterfly)
Lineage: Eukaryota; Metazoa; Arthropoda; Insecta; Lepidoptera; Pieridae
Exons: 2
Source: RefSeq, a predicted model, not a curated record
GUCAGUGUCACAGGUAGACAAGUUAACUUCAAACAAAUAUUACAACAUACAGUUAUUGCGCUAGUUGUUUAUUACUGUUAAAGUAACGAUGUGUGUGUGAAUAUGUAAAUAAUUUGGAUGUUUUUUUACUGAUUUUGUUUUUCGUGCAAUCGUUUUUGGUUUUUUUGUAAAAAUGUUCAUGCCAUCUGAAGUUUUUGCGACGUUCGGAGUGUCUGCCGUGCUGUCAUUCUCCGUAUCUGUAUUUAUUUUACUCAUGUAUGCUUCGAAAAAAGGCCUGCUGCGACCGAAGAAAUUCGACCUGCUUAUGCCAUCAGAGACUGUCACCCCUGUACCGUCAGCGCCAGAAUUAACUCCUUUGAAAAAUUAACAAAUACAUGUAAAUAAGAAUUAUUAUCAAGUUAUAUGACGAAGGGUUUUAUAAAAUGUUUUAACAUUUGUGUAAUUAACUUUAAUUACUAAUAUAUUUAUUAGAAUAUUUAUAGGAAUAGAGGGCAGAGCGAAUAAAAAUAACAAUUAAUUUUAAACUGUAAAUACGACCAGACCUCCAAAUUGCCAGAUUCAUUUCUCAUUAAAAUUUGCACAUAAUACGUGUUCCGUUACCUAAAAUGAAACCAAAAACGUACCAAUUAUUGUAUUAUAUUUCCUGUAUCUGUUUGUAUUAUAGAAAAUUAGUCGUUUAUCUUUUAAAUUAACAAGUUCAAAAAGUCUCAAUAUUCAGGACUUUUUAUAUUACAGCUGUUCACGUUAAUUGUUAAAUCCUCACCCGAUUUUAAGAUUCGAUUCUUGUGUCUGGUCAUACGAGACUCGAGAGUCAUAUAAGAGCCAUUUUUAAACAAUCUCAUUCCGGAAUUAAUUUAGAUUUUAUCAAUUCUGAUAGAUGGCGCUUUAUAUGAAAAAUAAUUUUGGUGUUAUGCCAGUUAUUAGUAAUUUUCUUCGAUCACGCAGGCAAAAGCGUAAGUAUACACAGAAAAAAGUAAUAAUGUGUAAAUAAAUAUGAAAUGCUAUAAUGUGGUGAGAUAUGUCUUUAGACUUGUUCUCAUUAAUGUUUCGAAGAACGUAUCGGUUGUGUGUAUUAAUCACCAAUCGCAUUAUCAAUAGAAUAAAUAUUGUCUCUUUCUCUUGUAUGGACUUUUAUGAGAUGUAAUUACAAUCUCUUAUCAUUAUUGGUGAAAUUUGAUUUAUGUAAUCUGUACACUUUUCUAUAGUUACCUUUAUGUUUUUAUAAUAAAUUAAAACAUUAACCAAUGUACUUAAUUAUGCAAAGCAAUAUAAAAAUUUAUCACGACUUAAA